GAUGAACGCUGGCGGCGUGCCUAAUACAUGCCAGUCGAGCGAACGGACGAGAAGCUUGCUUUUCUGAUGUUAGCGGCGGACGGGUGAGUAACACGUGGAUAACCUACCUAUAAGACUGGGAUAACUUCGGGAAACCGGAGCUAAUACCGGAUAAUAUUUUGAACCGCAUGGUUCAAAAGUGAAAGACGGUCUUGCUGUCACUUAUAGAUGGAUCCGCGCUGCAUUAGCUAGUUGGUAAGGUAACGGCUUACCAAGGCAACGAUGCAUAGCCGACCUGAGAGGGUGAUCAGCCACACUGGAACUGAGACACGGUCCAGACUCCUACGGGAGGCAGCAGUAGGGAAUCUUCCGCAAUGGGCGAAAGCCUGACGGAGCAACGCCGCGUGAGUGAUGAAGGUCUUCGGAUCGUAAAACUCUGUUAUUAGGGAAGAACAUAUGUGUAAGUAACUGUGCACAUCUUGACGGUACCUAAUCAGAAAGCCACGGCUAACUACAUG
This 497-nucleotide ribosomal RNA is filed under the name uncultured bacterium. RNAcentral describes it as "partial 16S ribosomal RNA". It matches the Rfam family "Bacterial small subunit ribosomal RNA", at positions 28 to 507 of the family's 1533-position model. The record is from RNAcentral.